Molecule: microRNA precursor, 65 nt
Filed under: Medicago truncatula (barrel medic)
Lineage: Eukaryota; Viridiplantae; Streptophyta; Magnoliopsida; Fabales; Fabaceae
Description: MIR5291 microRNA precursor family
Rfam family: MIR5291 microRNA precursor family
Source: Rfam by way of RNAcentral
GAUUGAUUCAAACCAAUCCAUUAACAAUUUUUUUUGUUUGAUCGAUGGAUUUGAUGGAUUUUGUA